CCUACGGGUGGCAGCAGUGAGGAAUAUUGGUCAAUGGGCGCGAGCCUGAACCAGCCAAGUAGCGUGAAGGAUGACUGCCCUACGGGUUGUAAACUUCUUUUAUAAAGGAAUAAAGUGAGGCACGUGUGCCUUUUUGUAUGUACUUUAUGAAUAAGGAUCGGCUAACUCCGUGCCAGCAGCCGCGGUAAUACGGAGGAUCCGAGCGUUAUCCGGAAUUAUUGGGUUUAAAGGGAGCGUAGAUGGGUUGUUAAGUCAGUUGUGAAAGUUUGCGGCUCAACCGUAAAAUUGCAAUUGAGACUGAGAAUCUAGAGUACAGGUGAGGAAAGCGGAAUUCGUGGUGUAGCGGUGAAAUUCUUAGAGAUCGGGAAGAACACCGAUUGCGAAGGCAGCUUACUGGCCAUCUACUGACGUUGAGGCUCGAAAGUAUGGGUAUCAAACAGGAUUAGAUACCUCUGUAGUC
RNAcentral lists this ribosomal RNA (460 nucleotides) under uncultured bacterium. Its description in RNAcentral is "partial 16S ribosomal RNA". It matches the Rfam family "Bacterial small subunit ribosomal RNA", at positions 338 to 795 of the family's 1533-position model. The record is from RNAcentral.